GUGGUCACAACAUCUUUAUUUUAUUUUUAUGUGGUGCUGAGGAUCGAACCCAGCGCCCCGCGCAUGCCAGGCGAGCGCGCUACCGCUUGAGCCACAUCCCCAGCCCGCCCCUGGGUUUUUCACACCCGGUUCUCCGACUCAUGGCAUUCGUCUCAUAGGGUCAAUCUUUGUGUCACGAUGAACGUUCCCCUCGAAGACUUUUAAAAGCAAGAGCUAAAACCCAUUUUGAAGACUGGUUGAUUGAAGUUUAAGUUAAGGACACUCUAAGGGCCCAGAGGGGCAGCGUCUGGACUCGCGUCCCUCUUCUCACUGAAAGCCCUUUCCCCGUGCUUUUUUCUGCCUAGGCCUCGCUGCUGUGCGCCUCUCUUGCAGACAGAUGACAGCUCUUCCUUGGACGUUUUCACUGGUUCUGCAACACCCAGUGUCCCCUUCUCUCCGCACUCCCCGGUGGGCGCCCAGUGUCCAGGGGGAGGAUGUCCCUGGAUGAGUCCACUGUGUACAGAGGCAUCAUGGGAGUUGUCAUUGUCAGGAACAUUCUACACUCCAGGAAUCUUGAGGUAAGAUUUCUGGUCCAUUUUCUGGUCYCUUGUAUUGGAUACAGCCCUGUUCCCAGGGGCUCUGGGUGAUGAUGUAGGGGAGCUGAGAGGUGAGAUAAAGGUGGUACCAUGGGUCCCCAAAUCUACCACCCACCCAACCAAUUCUAGAUCACACCUGACCCUUCACAUACCUUCAGUGGCUGCUGCAGGGGAAAGCCUCCAAGGUCCCACGUGUGGAAUGAGAGGUCUCUGGGACAUCUGCCCUCUCUACCUGGGCACCAGCAACAGCAUACUGUAAUGAUAAAUGGGUGGCAUGAGAAUCCCUUCUGCUGCUAUCUCCGGCACUCUACCACUGAGCUAUACCUCCAUCCCUUUUGUAUUUUGAGAUAGAGACUUACUAAGUUGCUAAGGCUGGCCUUGAACUUAGGAUCCUCCUUGCCCCAACCUUCCAAAUUGCUAGGAUUAAAGGCAUGCAUCUCUGCAUCAAACAGAACCUAAUUUUUUUAUUUGAAUAAAUGAAGUGGUGACAGAAAUGACUUUUGUUGU
Molecule: long non-coding RNA, 1082 nt
Filed under: Urocitellus parryii (Arctic ground squirrel)
Lineage: Eukaryota; Metazoa; Chordata; Mammalia; Rodentia; Sciuridae
Description: lncRNA (ENSUPAG00010002575.1)
Source: RNAcentral